GGGUGCAUAGCUUAAUUGGUAGAGCAGUGGUCUCUUAAUCCAAGGGUUCGGGGUUCGAGUCCCCGUGUGCCUA
Molecule: transfer RNA, 73 nt
Filed under: Vermamoeba vermiformis
Lineage: Eukaryota; Tubulinea; Echinamoebida; Vermamoebidae
Also listed under: 2 other names
Description: tRNA-Lys
Rfam family: tRNA
About the family: Transfer RNA (tRNA) molecules are approximately 80 nucleotides in length. Their secondary structure includes four short double-helical elements and three loops (D, anti-codon, and T loops).
Source: RNAcentral